This 648-nucleotide long non-coding RNA is filed under the name Citrus maxima (pomelo). Its description in RNAcentral is "long non-coding RNA (CMAX_LNC001924)". Lineage: Eukaryota; Viridiplantae; Streptophyta; Magnoliopsida; Sapindales; Rutaceae. The record is from RNAcentral.
CAAAUGACAAAACAUAUAUAAUUGAUUAAUAACCCAUCACCAUAAACACUCAAGACAACAACAAUUACAAUGUUUAGAAACCAAAUUAGCACCAAUUACAAAACCAAACCAGCACCAAUUACAAACAGCCACUAUAUAAAAGAAAAUUGAACAGAUUCAGUACCUGAAACCCCUCUUACCCAUGCCCAAAAGAAAAUUGAAUUACAAACAGCACCAUUUUCAUCACGUCAGCCGCACAAGAAGAUUGAAUAACAAGCAGCCAUUCAUGCCCAUUUGGAAUCGCAUUUAUAACAUUACCUUGUGCGGCUGACGACGGCGAACGAAGCCGGAGGUAGCUAGAGCAGAGAUGAUAGCAGCUGGAACGAGGAAGCAAAUCCAGAACGGCUAGAACGAGGAAGCAAAUAGCGUGGUGGGCGUUUGUUCCCGGCGGCAAUGGCUGUAACGUAGGCGUGGCUGUGUGUGAGUGAAUCUCUUGUUCACGAUGGAGAAGAAGAAUCAAGAAAGAAUGAAAUAACUAGAGAUUGCGUUUUUGCCUUAUGUACUUAUAUAUAUGUACAUAUGUUUUAUUUAUUUUUUUAGGCUAAACCCGAUCGGUUUAUAAAAUUGAACCCGAUUGGCUUGACCCAAUCCAAACCCCCACAAUCGCCC